Molecule: ribosomal RNA, 253 nt
Filed under: uncultured bacterium
Lineage: Bacteria
Description: partial 16S ribosomal RNA
Rfam family: Bacterial small subunit ribosomal RNA
Source: RNAcentral
UACAGAGGGUGCGAGCGUUAAUCGGAAUUACUGGGCGUAAAGCGCGCGUAGGCGGCUUUGCAAGCCGGAUGUGAAAUCCCCGGGCUUAACCUGGGAACUGCAUUCGGGACUGCAUUGCUCGAGUAUGGGAGAGGGAAGUGGAAUUUCAGGUGUAGCGGUGAAAUGCGCAGAUAUCAGGAGGAACACCGGUGGCGAAGGCGGGUCUCUGGGCCGAUACUGACGCUGAGGAGCGAAAGCGUGGGGAGCGAACAGG